GCUAAACGCGAAGAACCUUACCAAGGCUUGACAUAUACGAGAACGGGCCAGAAAUGGUCAACUCUUUGGACACUCGUAAACAGGUGGUGCAUGGUUGUCGUCAGCUCGUGUCGUGAGAUGUUGGGUUAAGUCCCGCAACGAGCGCAACCCUCGUUCUUUGUUGCCAGCACGUAAUGGUGGGAACUCAAAGGAGACUGCCGGGGUCAACUCGGAGGAAGGUGGGGAUGACGUCAAAUCAUCAUGCCCCUUAUGUCUUGGGCUUCACGCAUGCUACAAUGGCCGGUACAAAGGGCUGCAAUACCGCAAGGUGGAGCGAAUCCCAAAAAGCCGGUCUCAGUUCGGAUUGAGGUCUGCAACUCGACUGCGUGAAGUCGGAAUCGCUAGUAAUCGCGAAUCAGAAUGUCGCGGUGAAUACGUUCCCGGGUC
This 426-nucleotide ribosomal RNA is filed under the name uncultured bacterium. Its description in RNAcentral is "bacterial SSU rRNA". It matches the Rfam family "Bacterial small subunit ribosomal RNA", at positions 954 to 1380 of the family's 1533-position model. The record is from RNAcentral.